GCGGGUGUAGCUCAGCGGUAGAGCAUCACGUUGCCAACGUGGAGGUCGUGGGUUCGAAUCUCAUCACCCGCU
RNAcentral lists this transfer RNA (72 nucleotides) under Chlamydiae bacterium RIFCSPHIGHO2_12_FULL_49_11. Its description in RNAcentral is "tRNA-Gly". It matches the Rfam family "tRNA". Rfam says of the family: Transfer RNA (tRNA) molecules are approximately 80 nucleotides in length. Their secondary structure includes four short double-helical elements and three loops (D, anti-codon, and T loops). Lineage: Bacteria; Pseudomonadati; Chlamydiota. The record is from RNAcentral.